AGAUUGAACGCUGGCGGCAUGCCUAACACAUGCAAGUCGCACGGUCAGCAAUGGCAGUGGCGGACGGGUGAGUAACACGUAGGAAUCUAUCCUGGGGUGGGGGAUAACAGUGGGAAACUACUGCUAAUACCGCAUGAUACCUGAGGGUCAAAGGCGCGAGUCGCCUUGGGAGGAGCCUGCGUCUGAUUAGCUUGUUGGUGGGGUAAAGGCCUACCAAGGCGACGAUCAGUAGCUGGUCUGAGAGGAUGAUCAGCCACAUUGGGACUGAGACACGGCCCAAACUCCUACGGGCGGCAGC
This 298-nucleotide ribosomal RNA is filed under the name uncultured prokaryote. RNAcentral describes it as "partial 16S ribosomal RNA". It matches the Rfam family "Bacterial small subunit ribosomal RNA", at positions 26 to 352 of the family's 1533-position model. The record is from RNAcentral.